RNAcentral lists this ribosomal RNA (254 nucleotides) under uncultured bacterium. RNAcentral describes it as "partial 16S ribosomal RNA". It matches the Rfam family "Bacterial small subunit ribosomal RNA", at positions 524 to 776 of the family's 1533-position model. The record is from RNAcentral.
UACGUAGGGGGCUAGCGUUUGUCCGGAAUCAUUGGGCGUAAAGAGCGUGUAGGCGGCUUGGUAAGUCCGCUGUGAAAGUCCAGGGCUCAACCCUGGAAUGCCAGUGGAUACUGUCAAGCUAGAGUCCGGAAGAGGCGAGUGGAAUUCCUGGUGUAGCGGUGAAAUGCGCAGAUAUCAGGAGGAACACCAAUGGCGAAGGCAGCUCGCUGGGACGGUACUGACGCUGAGACGCGAAAGCGUGGGGAGCAAACAGG